This 1367-nucleotide long non-coding RNA is filed under the name Homo sapiens (human). RNAcentral describes it as "non-protein coding lnc-LTF-1:8". Lineage: Eukaryota; Metazoa; Chordata; Mammalia; Primates; Hominidae. The record is from RNAcentral.
ACAUAUUCAGAAGGCAUCUCACUGGAGAGGGUUUAGUUCUCCUUAGCAGAAGAUAAGAUUUCAAGAUUUCAGCUAAGACUCAUCUCUCUGCAAAUCUUUCUUUUGAGAGCAUCUUCACCAGGAGGAGAUUCCAUCUCAAGAGACCACUUUCACUGCUCAUAUGUAAGAAGCAACUCUUCAUCUGUUCAAGUUUGAUCAUGAGAGUGCGGCAAUUCAGUCACAACUUCAGGCUCCACUUCUAGUUCUAGUUCUCUUGCUGUUUCCACCACAUCUACAGCGACUUCCUCCACUGAAGACGUGAACCCCUGAAAGUCAUCUAUGGGGGUUGGAAUCAAUGUCUUUCACACUCCUGUUAAUGUUGGUAUUUUGACCUCCUCCCAUGAAUUACAAAUGUUCCUAAUGGCAUCUAGAAUAAUGACUACUUUCCAGAAGCUUUUCAAUUUGCUUUGCUCAGAUCCAUCAAUGGAAUCACUAUCAAUGGUAGCUAUAUAAACUAUAUAAGGCUAUAUAUAUAUAUAUAGCUAUUUCUUAAUAGCCUUAUGAAAUAUAUUUCUUAAUAAGACUUGAAAGUCUUGGUCCAUGGACUGCAGAAUGGAUGUUUGUGUUAGCAGGGAUGAAAACAACAUGAAUAUUCUCGUACAUCUCCAACACAGCUCUUGAUCGACAUGGUGCAGAGCAGUAAUAUUUUGAAAGGAAUCUUUUUUUCUGAGCAAUAGUUCUCAAUAGUGGGCUUGAAAUAUUCAGUAAACCAUGCUGUAAACAGAUGUGUUGUCAUCCAGGCUUUAUUGUUCCAUUUAUGGAGCACAGAUAGAGUAGAUUUCGCAUAAUUCUUAAUGACACCAGGAUUUACAAAAUAGUAAAUGAACAUUUACUUCAACUUAAAGUCAUCAGCUGCAUUCACCUCUAAAAAGAGAGUCAGCCUGUCCUGUGGAGCUUUGCAGCUUGCCUUGACAUCUCCUCUCUAGCUGUGAAAGUCCUGGAUGGCAUCUUCUUCCAACAUAAGACUGUUUUGUCUACACUGAAAAUCUGUUGUUUCGUGUAGACACUUUCAUCAAUUAUCUUAUCUAGAUUUUCUGGAUAACUUGCCACAGCUUCUCCCUUUGCACUUGCUGCUUCAUCUUGCAUUUUUAUGUUAUGGAGAUGUUGUCUUUCAUUAAACCUCACAAACCAACCUCCGCUAGCUUCAAACUUUUCUUCUGCAGCUUCCUCACCUCUCUCCGCCUUCAUAGCAUUGAAGAGAGUUAGAGUCUUGCUCUGGAUUAGGCUUUGACUUAAGGAAAUGUUGUGGCUGGUUGGAUCUUUUCUCCAGACCACUCAAACUUUCUCCAUAUUAGCAAUAUGGCUGCUUUGUUUUCUCUUCAUUUGCA